UUUUAUAAAUGAACCUUAAUUUGCCACCAAAAUAAUUAUCUUGAACUAGAGGCAAUAUCCACAAUGCCUGAUAUCAAGUUAAACUUUUAAAAUAAUUACAUUGCAUGAUAAUAUCUCAUGACUAAUAUUCCUUCACUUAGUUUAGUCAAAAUCUGAUUAAUCAUAAUUUGAAAUACAAAUUGUUCCACCAAGAAAACUCUCAGAAUAGCUUAUCACACUUUGGUUACAGGUUGCAUUCUAAUUUUAGCAUUUCAAAAUUCAGAUAAAAUAACAUAAAUUUAUCAAUAGCAAAAGCAAAAAAAUACCUUUGUCUAAUGGCCUAAUGUCUACCCAUCUCUCAAACUUUCCAACGAAUCCUAAAGAUCCUAAAACUUAAUCCCCAUCCAACUAUUUCAAACACAAUC
RNAcentral lists this long non-coding RNA (404 nucleotides) under Phoenix dactylifera (date palm). RNAcentral describes it as "long non-coding RNA (PDAC_LNC006229)". The record is from RNAcentral. Lineage: Eukaryota; Viridiplantae; Streptophyta; Magnoliopsida; Arecales; Arecaceae.